Molecule: ribosomal RNA, 859 nt
Filed under: uncultured bacterium
Lineage: Bacteria
Description: bacterial SSU rRNA
Rfam family: Bacterial small subunit ribosomal RNA
Source: RNAcentral
UGAANUUAAAGGCUGUGGCUUAACCAUAGUACGCUUUGGAAACUGUUUAACUUGAGUGCAGAAGGGGAGAGUGGAAUUCCAUGUGUAGCGGUGAAAUGCGUAGAUAUAUGGAGGAACACCGGUGGCGAAAGCGGCUCUCUGGUCUGUAACUGACGCUGAGGCUCGAAAGCGUGGGGAGCGAACAGGAUUAGAUACCCUGGUAGUCCACGCCGUAAACGAUGAGUGCUAGGUGUUAGGCCCUUUCCGGGGCUUAGUGCCGCAGCUAACGCAUUAAGCACUCCGCCUGGGGAGUACGACCGCAAGGUUGAAACUCAAAGGAAUUGACGGGGGCCCGCACAAGCGGUGGAGCAUGUGGUUUAAUUCGAAGCAACGCGAAGAACCUUACCAGGUCUUGACAUCCCGAUGCCCGCUCUAGAGAUAGAGUUUUACUUCGGUACAUCGGUGACAGGUGGUGCAUGGUUGUCGUCAGCUCGUGUCGUGAGAUGUUGGGUUAAGUCCCGCAACGAGCGCAACCCUUAUUGUUAGUUGCCAUCAUUCAGUUGGGCACUCUAGCGAGACUGCCGGUAAUAAACCGGAGGAAGGUGGGGAUGACGUCAAAUCAUCAUGCCCCUUAUGACCUGGGCUACACACGUGCUACAAUGGCUGGUACAACGAGUCGCAAGUCGGUGACGGCAAGCUAAUCUCUUAAAGCCAGUCUCAGUUCGGAUUGUAGGCUGCAACUCGCCUACAUGAAGUCGGAAUCGCUAGUAAUCGCGGAUCAGCACGCCGCGGUGAAUACGUUCCCGGGCCUUGUACACACCGCCCGUCACACCACGAGAGUUUGUAACACCCGAAGUCGGUGAGGUAACCUUUUAGGAGC